CGAGGAGGUAGGGCUUACGCUUGCGUUUGUCUGUUAUAUCUUGGUGGACGAGUCGUCGCGGUUGGGACUGAGGUGCCUACAACGUGCUUUUGAGUGGGUUUGUGUCUCCGUGUGCGCCGUGUGCGGAUAGCUUGCUAUGUAUGUGUGGUUGUGUGUGGAUUGAUGCGGGCUUUAACUUGUUGCCGUUCGGGACGUUGACGAAAUGGAGCGAUCCGACCCGUCUUGAAACACGGACCAAGGAGUCUAACAUGUGUGCAAGUGUUAGGGUGUGGAAACCCCAGCGCGUAAUGAAAGUAAAGGGCAGCGCAAGUUGUCUGAGGUAGGAAACGUUGUGGACUUCGGUCUGCGGCGUGGCACUAUCGACCGAUCAUGAACCUUCGUGGUGAAAGAUUUGAGUUUGAGCACAUAUGUUGGUACCCGAAAGAUGGUGAACUAUGCCUGAGUAGGGUGAAGCCAGGGGAAACUCUGGUGGAAGCUCGUAGCGAUUCUGACGUGCAAAUCGAUCGUCGAACUUGGGUAUAGGGGCGAAAGACUAAUCGAACCAUCUAGUAGCUGGUUCCCUCCGAAAUUUCCCUCAGGAUAGCAGCAACUUAUUUACGAUAGUUUUAUGAGGUAAAGCGAAUGAUUAGAGGAUUCGGGGAAGAAACUUCCUCGACCUAUUCUCAAACUUUAAAUCUGUAAGACCUGCAGGUUUCUUAAU
RNAcentral lists this ribosomal RNA (700 nucleotides) under Pseudoperonospora cubensis. RNAcentral's name for it is "LSU rRNA". It matches the Rfam family "Eukaryotic large subunit ribosomal RNA", at positions 442 to 1095 of the family's 3401-position model. The record is from RNAcentral. Lineage: Eukaryota; Oomycota; Peronosporomycetes; Peronosporales; Peronosporaceae.